CCUACGGGAGGCAGCAGUGGGGAAUAUUGGGCAAUGGGCGCAAGCCUGACCCAGCAACGCCGCGUGAGGGAAGAAGGCUUUCGGGUUGUAAACUUCUUUUCUGAGGGACGAAGAAAGUGACGGUACCUCAGGAAUAAGCCACGGCUAACUACAUGCCAGCAGCCGCGGUAAUAAGUAGGUGGCAAGCGUUAGCCGGAGUUCGUGGGUGUAAAGGGCGUGUAGGCGGGAAAGUAAGGCAGAUGUGAAAACUCAGGGCUCAACCCUGAGCCUGCAGUUGAAACUGUUUUUCUUGAGUGCUGGAGAGGCAAGCGGAAUUCCGGGUGUAGCGGUGAAAUGCGUAGAUAUAAGGAGGAACACCAGUGGCGAAGGCGGAUUGCUGGACAGUAACUGACGCUGAGGCGCGAAAGCGUGGGGAGCAAACAGGAUUAGAUACCCCAGUAGUC
RNAcentral lists this ribosomal RNA (443 nucleotides) under uncultured bacterium. Its description in RNAcentral is "partial 16S ribosomal RNA". It matches the Rfam family "Bacterial small subunit ribosomal RNA", at positions 338 to 795 of the family's 1533-position model. The record is from RNAcentral.